This 700-nucleotide ribosomal RNA is filed under the name uncultured bacterium. RNAcentral's name for it is "bacterial SSU rRNA". It matches the Rfam family "Bacterial small subunit ribosomal RNA", at positions 8 to 692 of the family's 1533-position model. The record is from RNAcentral.
AGAGUUUGAUCCUGGCUCAGAUUGAACGCUGGCGGUAUGCUUAACACAUGCAAGUCGAACGGUAGCAGGCCUUCGGGCGCUGACGAGUGGCGGACGGGUGAGUAACGCGUAGGAAUCUGCCUUAUAGUGGGGGACAACGUGGGGAAACCCACGCUAAUACCGCAUACGCUCCCUGUUUGAAAGAAUGGGGAGGAAAGCGGGGGCUCUUCGGACCUCGCGCUAUGAGAUGAGCCUGCGUUAGAUUAGCUAGUUGGUAGGGUAAAGGCCUACCAAGGCGACGAUCUAUAGCUGGUCUGAGAGGACGAUCAGCCACACUGGGACUGAGACACGGCCCAGACUCCUACGGGAGGCAGCAGUGGGGAAUAUUGGACAAUGGGCGCAAGCCUGAUCCAGCAAUACCGCGUGUGUGAAGAAGGCCUUAGGGUUGUAAAGCACUUUCAAUUGGGAGGAAAACCUGCCGGUCAAUACCCGGUAGCUCGACAUUACCUUUAGAAGAAGCACCGGCUAACUCCGUGCCAGCAGCCGCGGUAAUACGGAGGGUGCGAGCGUUAAUCGGAAUUACUGGGCGUAAAGCGUGCGUAGGCGGUUCGUUAAGUCAGAUGUGAAAGCCCUGGGCUCAACCUGGGAACGGCAUUUGAAACUGGCGGACUAGAGUUUAGUAGAGGGGAGUGGAAUUUCAGGUGUAGCGGUGAAAUGCGUA